Hyaena hyaena (striped hyena) is the source of this 104-nucleotide small nuclear RNA. NCBI's taxonomy places the organism in Eukaryota, Metazoa, Chordata, Mammalia, Carnivora, Hyaenidae. The record is from RefSeq and is a predicted model, not a curated record.
GUGCUCACUUCAGCAGCACAUAUACUAAAAUUGGAACGAUCCACAGAUUAGCAUGGUCCCUGUGCAGAGAUGAUAAGCAAAUUCGUGAAUUUGUGAAGUGUUCC